This 253-nucleotide ribosomal RNA is filed under the name uncultured bacterium. RNAcentral's name for it is "partial 16S ribosomal RNA". It matches the Rfam family "Bacterial small subunit ribosomal RNA", at positions 524 to 776 of the family's 1533-position model. The record is from RNAcentral.
UACGUAGGGUGCGAGCGUUAAUCGGAAUUACUGGGCGUAAAGGGUGCGUAGGCGGUCGGGUAAGUCUGAUGUGAAAUCUCAGAGCUCAACUCUGAAACUGCAUUGGAUACUAUUCGGCUUGAGGUCUGGAGGGGGGACUGGAAUUCUCGGUGUAGCAGUGAAAUGCGUAGAUAUCUGGAGGAACACCGGUGGCGAAGGCGACAUCCUGGACCGGUAUUGACGCUGAGGCGCGAAAGCCAGGGGAGCAAACGGG